GACUGCUGUGUCACAGAGCUGCUGCUUUCUACAUUAUCGCAACUGCCAGAGCUCUUACUGCUGCAGUUUUCUAGUCGCAGUGCGGCAAAGCAGACGCAUAGAACCAGGCACAAAGCAGCAUAGAUUUUUUUUAUUCUUGUCUUUCUCAUGUGAGGGGAAUAUUCCUGGUGUUAGCGUAGGAACAGACACAGCCUGGAUGUGUUGGCUUCAGCCUGGCAGCAUUUUCAGCUGAGCAGGGACUGCUUGGAGCUCUGUACCCAGAUUGCCUCUGAGGAAGAACGCCUGGUUUCCCACUUUGCGAACUAAAAGAGGGGGUUUUUUAUGCUACGUUAAUGUACCUGCAGCAAUAGGACAAAGGAGAUGGUACUUGUCUCAACUGGUACUUGUCAGUCUGUCCGACUGGGGCCUUUUGCGGGCAUUCCAUGGCCGAAGCUGUGCCAGCAUCCCAGGGUCAUAUAGAUGGGCAAUGCAGAUUGCUGCAAUUUCUUACAUCAGUUAGAGCAAAGCUUAAACAGGAAUCUAGACUCUCUGACCUAAAUCAGUCCCAGUCCUUCUGGAUACAGGGCAGCAGUCGACUAGCGAUGACACAACCAGCCAUCAAGUGGAGAGUCUCUGGGAUUGCAAUCUGUAUCAGUUGGAGUCUGAGAGAAUGAAACCCUUUCGGGUAUCCAGUCGCUGCCUGGGAGAACGAAACCCUUUCGGGUAUCCAGUCUCUUCUCCUUCUAAUACUACAAUUACUACAACUACAGCUACUACUACUACUACUUCUGUUUUUCUUGCCUGUAAGAAGCUAUUAAUUGUGGUUGGUCUCUGACUGUACAUUUGCGUGGAUUAGUCUGUCUGUAACGCAGUCCUUAUCUGCUUCUGCUGGAAAUCGGGGCAUGAAGUCAGCCUGCUUUAACAGUUGUUUCUUUCUGCGUGAUGCUAUGCAACUAGAAUGGGUUACACUGACAACAAAGGAACAAGCACAAAGCACCACUUUCUUUGCUGGACUGUUACAGGAACAUAACUCUUCUUCGAUAUGACACCCUGGUCUCUUCUCUUUGCUGGCUUUUUUUUCUUUUUAAUUUAAUUCAUCUAAUCGAAGAGCCUAGCAGACACCGUCGUGAAUGUGGCUUUUAAUGAUUUGGAAAAGACAGCCUGUGGAGACUGCGAUUCGAGACAGCAACACAUUUAGGUUAUUGCCAAUUUUAAAUACUUGGUUUGUGAAGCACAGCCCUAAGGGACGAGCUCAGUAACUGAGAAAGAGAUUGUAGAUAAAGAAAUAAAAAUGACAAGCGUAAUGGAGGCUCUGCAAAAGAGAUUGUCAGAGAAUCAGUUCAUGGAUGGCAAUUUCACCAGUCUGAAUCUGAAUAAUUCAUAGAUUGAAAUUACCCUGCUUUCACCUUUCCAUUUAAACCGGCAUGAUCUGAAUCUCUAAUAAAUUUUCAAGAUAAAGUAAAAUGCCAAUUUGAAUCUGAAGAGCUUUUAAAACCAGAUGCUACACCCUGAAUCUUUCGAUACCUUUCACAAUUAUCCUGUGAGAACCGCACUUCAUCACGAAGCACCAUUACCAGUGAAAAUUACUGUGAUUACAAUAGCAACAAUAGAAUACCAUCAAAUGAUCUCUAAUCUACCUAAUUUACCAAGGCUGACUGUGUGCCCAUUGUGUUUCACUACGUCUGGCAUUGGAUCAAUAUCACAGAGGAACAAAAAUGCCUUAGUGCGUGCUUCCUUUUGGUACCUUUAACUUUGACAGCACAGGAGAAAAUCUGCCUACUCUUAAAUAUUUUUAAAGCCUAUCUAUGUGCCUGCUGUAGGACCUGAUUGAUUCUCCGUGAUUUUCUUUAGUUUUUGGAUGUCAGAUAUCAUUGUGUUACUAAUUUGUUUAUAAUGUAUACUCAUGCACAAAGACUGCAGCAAGCGAGUGCCAGCAGAGAGACCCUGCACUGCUGCUGCAGUCGCAGAGCUCUCACAGGGGAAGCCAAAAUGAGUUCGGUGCCUUAUGUGAAUAAUUACUCCUGUCUGAGUUAGAAAUGCUUUGUAGCAUUACCGGUCUUGGUUGUACUACGUGAAAAAUGUAUGCAAAAGCCAUGGUCAAGAAAAGCAAUUGCGUGUAAUACUAACAAGAUUUUUCCCUCUAUUCAGCAAUUAGCAUGUGGUUGUGAGAGACAGGCUGCAACUCCUUCUGUAGAUGUGUGUGUGUGUAUGUGUAUGUAGGUACACAUGCACAUACAUAAAUGUAAUGCUCUGUGAAUAUGUGCUGAUCACUGAAAGUAACAACUUUUUCUGACAAGCCAGGCGCAGUGUUUUGCCACAAUCUGCUCAGUUGUAACAAAUCCCUGUUUUGAAGGUGUAAAUUUCCUAUAGGAUGAUGCAUGACUUCUGGAACAGUAAGUACCAUUUAUGCAGUAUGUUGGUGCCUAUAGCUAUGCUGCAGAAUAGUAUUUUAAGCAUAGUUUGAGUGCUUGUAGCAUAUCUAGAAUGGGGAGAAGUGAGAAAUGUACAGAAGGCUAAAAACAGGCAUUCUUCAUGGAGGCGAUUGUAUCUGCUGUUUGUAUGUGUGUGAGUUGCACACUUCAGGCUUGUUUUUCAUUUUAUAAUCAGAUUUACUCUGCCUUCAGGGAAUAUUUUCUAAGAGAGGAAGGUAAGCAAUAUUUCUUCUUACUUAUAUGACUGUUUUGUUAAGAGAAAUGUAUGUUUAUAGCACAGUUAUAUAACACAGCACAAUCUCAUGACAUCUGUUUCAGUAUUUGUUCACGUUAAAACUGGGCAAGAAAGCAUAUUUAAAAUAUAGCCUUUUAUUGAAUAUACACUUGCAGAAAUGCUACACAAAAAAAAGAAUUUACAGAUUGUGUUUGCAUUGAGAUUUGACUCUUUACUGUUAUUAAAUAAGAGCCUACUCUACCUAAAUAGUAAUGGUUUUGAAACCUUUCGAUUUUAGAUAUCUUGUCUUAUCAAAACACAAUUUACUGUACUUCUGAAUUUCCUGUAUAUGAGUGGAGACUGUUUUCUAGAAGUAGAAGAGGCAGAAGGUUUUACUGCUUGAUCUGUGAUAACAAAGGAAUUUGAAAGGGCACAAUAUAUGAUUAUACAAAAAACUCAAAUUCUAAAUAAUUUGGUAAUGUGAUUUAGCGAACUGCUCUUCUUAGACAACACACUCUCAAGUUGCUACACUACCUGGAAAUAAUUAGUCCAUUCAGUGCUAUAUUUAUAUUCUUCAUUUUCACGUGGUAUUCAAAACUUAACAAAGAAAAAUCCUUGGGCAGAGCAAAGACUGAAACUUAGGUAAAAGUAGAAAACCUACAUUAUGUUACUGUGGUAAUAAAAUCAAGAGAUUCAGACUGAACUUUGGGGAAGCGAACUAAGUGUUUUGGUUUAACUAUUUUAUGAUGAGCUUUUUAUGUUUUUUUGUACAGAAAUAUAACAUACUGAUAUAACUACUAUACUGCAAGGAUCAUGCAAACAGCAAUGUGAAUUGCAAAAUACCAUACAAAUACCUGGUAGCAUUCAUGUUGUUAUUAUUGUUACUGCCACAAUCUUCCAGUAUCAUAUGCUGCUUUGAAAUCAUGAUCUGUUAGCUAGUUUGACUGCAUGGAGUCUUUACAAUCCUAAUUUUUUUAUCAGUCUCAUCUGCUGUGACAGUCUUUAGAGAGCAGCUGGCCAUGGGGUGCAAGAUGUCCUCAUUAACAACUGCAGAGCAGAGCUAAGAGAGAGUUUACACACUGUUCAUGGCUUCCUGUAAGAGCCUGAUCCGAAUCGUUCUGUGGAUUCAUGCUGGAGUCUUCCAACUUUGUGUUUCUGUUAUUGAACUUUUGACAUGCCACUAGCUUUCUCACACUCCUCCAUGCUGGCCUCUCAUUCCAAAAUAUGCAGUGCUUGUCAGGCCUAAUGCUGUUUGUCGGUGCAAGCUCCUGCAGUAGUUGCCAGAGUCUGUUAAAACAGUGCACUCAGGAGCUGGGGGUAUCUGUGAGACUUAAAAAGUACUCUGAAAAAGUUUGAGAACCUUAGGAACUGAACUCUGUCUUUUGGGCUGGUGCGUGUUUCAAAGGCAGCAGGAUUGCAGUCUGCCAGCAGGAUACAUUGCACGUGCAAAUGGGAAAACAAUCAUUAAAACCUUUUCAGACAUAGGAUCAUGAAGUGAAAAUUAGCAAUAUUGUCUCACAAAAUGUGUUAAAAUAUAGUCAACUGUAUCAUCCAUGUAUUUUUUCAUGUGGCUAUAGCCAAUCAGGUAGCUACAGCUGAAGUGUGUAGGAUGUACAAUUGUAUGCAUCAAAAUAAAUGGGAGACUGUGCAAUAUCAAACUUCUAAUAUAAAGCCACUAAUUUCAGCAAUAGUGAUUCAACAGUUAUUACACAUCAUAUCAAAGAUUGAUUAGUCUGAUUUUGUGCUUAUGUUUUUCACUGUGUUACACUUGCUUGUCUGAAAAUGAAUUUGCAAUGGCAAAGUAAGGGCAAAGCCACUUCUUUACAUGAGUUCCCAGUUAAACACAGAUAUCCACUUGAGUAAAAUUCCCUCUAUGCCUUUGGUGGACCCUCAUCUGCAGCUAGGCAGUGACCAGGAUGAAGCCACACAUGUGAAAAACAUGCUGGAGCCCAUUUUACUACCAUUGAAUUUAAUAACAAGUCUCCCUGUGCCAUCAACAUAAAAGAUGGAUUAAUUAAUUUCCUUCCAUUACAUUCUUCCUGUGAAAGUUGUUGCUGGUUUUUUGGUUGUUUUUUUUUUUUCCUCUUGAUUACUAUAGUCAUUUGUAGUUGACACAAUGUUGAACAGAAGAUCUUUCCUGUUCACUAGUACACACAACCUGAGCUAAACAUACACUGAAAUCAGCAUCUCAGGAUAGGUUUAUUUGACAAUUGAAGGGACCUUCUUUCCUGUAGUUUUGUUGAUAAUAUUUGUGCUCACUCGCUUGCCAAUUCUGUAUUAUCACCUGCUAUAAAACACACCAGUUCUGAUCGGUAAUGGUUGUAUCUAUUUGGACAAGAGCCCUGAGGAUAGGAGGGCCUGUUAUGGGUUUUGUUGGUUUUUUCCACUGUACAAUUGCUUUGAAUUAAUUGCAACUGCCUAUGGAAAUAUGAUCCCUUAAGAAUGUAGAGAAAUACAUUAUUGAUGAGUAUGUAUAAGAAUUACUAGAUUCCUUUGCAUUCUGGCUGCUAUCAAUUUCACACAAUUAUUCCCAAACAAAAAUGUGAGGAGGAAAGUAAGAACAACAUAAAUUGAAAGGAAAAAAACAUCAUUUCCAAACAACUGUUUUGAUGCAGAAAAUUCAGAGCUAAACAGAAGAAAAUCCAAGUGGGUUCAUAGAUACUAUUAAAAUACCAAAUCAGCUCACUCCCUCUUUGAUGCCAUGUGAUAACCCCAGGAUGUGAUAGAGGUAAACAAUUUUGUCAUGUCAGUUUAUAUUACAUAGAUAGGAUCAAAACCCACCCUUGGCUUUAGAAGUAUUUGAAUUGCAUUUCACAGCAUCAGAUCAGUUUCUUGAUGGACUAUAAACCUACAUGUGCUCUGUGCUUUUAGCUGUGUAACAUAACCAGAAGUUCUGAAAAUCAAAUGAUUUCCGACUGACAAAAAGGGGAAAAUGAAAUCCUAAAUGGGAAUUGCAGCAGAGGCAAUGGGUUUUCCAGGUCUCAUGCCAGCAGAGAUUCUUGCUGUGGGUUUUCCAGAUCAGGUUAAACUCCUCAUUGUGUUAGAAUUUGUUCUAAAAAACACAUAGUUAAAAACGAGUGGGAAUUCAAAAUAUGGCCAAAUUUGUACCUGAAAACAUGUGCCUUUUUUUUUUCCCCUAACUGCAUUCAACAUUAUUUCUGCCACAGGUCUUGUCUCAAAGUUUACUGAGAAACUGUGUCCAAAAGAAUAUUUUCAGUGUUAUACCUCAUUUGUAGGUAGUCAUGCAUAUUGAAGCACACGCAAUGAGUUGGCACUUGUGGGAAAUGCAAAACUGGGAAAUGUUGUUGAAAUGGAAUAAAAAUAAAUUGACAGACUGUGAGAUUUCCACUCUACUGUUCACUUAUACUCAACAUUUCACAAGGUUGUGCAGAAGUGAACAUGUGGUUAAAUUAUAUGCAGUUACAUAGUGAAAUGCUCAAUAGAAAAGCCUUUUUUUCUACUCACCUGUUUGUUUCUUUGCUUCCUAUGUUCAUUCAAAAACCAUCUCCAGUGGGACAAUAGCCAUAGCAACUGGCCGCUCUUCUGUCCUGCAUGUAAGUAAGUGACAGUAAGAAGUUUCACUGAGACAGCAAAUGGAUGAGAUCCCACAACCUCUGCUCCUAAAGGCGAUGUCCUUGUUGAUGGGGCUAGGGGAGAGACAGGUACACAGAGGGGCUUUGAGAAUGAGAAACUGACUGUAUGCAAUAUACUUCUGACUCAUGUAUUAAAGAAGAAGUGGGAAAAUGCCAUUAUUAAGUAAUUAAAGAGGAGUAGGAACAUCUUUAAUUUCUAUGUUUUCACAGGCGGCUCUUCUGCAAACUUGUCAUAUUUAUACCUAGCAUGAGUAUUACGUGGUGAAAUUCCAAGUCACCCAAAAAAGUUAACCUGUUAAUCAAUAUUGAGACUGCAGAAAAAGAGUCCAUAACCCAAUAGACUACACUAAUGGUUACUCAUAUACAUAUACACAGUCCUAGCACAGGUGUUCAGAUAUAGCUUUAAGGCAUUUUAAUUUGCAUGUAAAUGUAGCUACCUAUGCUACUGCACCUGUAAUAUCUGUAAGGUGACCAUAUAUUUCACAUUAGCUUAAGCAGCUACAUCCCGUUUAAAUUGACCUUUUUGAUAAUGGCAUUUUAUGCACAGAAGUAGUGUAAAUUGUCACCACUCCUUUUCUAAAAAGGUACUAUUUUCUUCAAAGCUUGUCUCUACUAAACCUACAAUCUAUCUUUUCAUGAGGGGCAGUCUCUGGUGAGCUGAUGGGCUUGAUCUGGUUAUGAAUUUCUUGCAGUUUCUCGUUUUUAUGUUCUGUGUUUGUUUUAUUAUAUUUAGGAGUUGGAAUGCAUCUUUUCCUCUGCCACAGAACUCGAUGCUAAGUAAUUACUUAAGGACUCACACUUCAUCUUCUGAAUGCCCAACAGUAUGUGUGACUUGCUGAGCUCUCCCAGCAGGAUCUGGAGUCCAUGGGAGCAUGUGCAGGAAAAAAAACCCACACAUAAAAAAACUCCAAAAACUUUCUUGCUUCUGAUUGUCUGCCUCAACUUAGACAAUAUUUGUGACCUUAAUCUCUGGGUCUUUAUUUUGUUUUUGUAAUAAGUAUCUCCAGACACAAUACUCUCACCUUACAGGGCACUAUGAAAUUUAUUUCAUUAACAAAUGUGAGUCAAAUAAUGAAUAAGUAACUGUUAGGGGGAAAGUAGUGCUCCUAUCAUUAGUUCUGUGUGUAGUAAAUUAGGAGGAGGUUUUGCAAGAAGACAAAAAGGCUGAAUUGCUGCUCAUUGAGAAUUUUUCUGGAGCACAGAGCUCAUGCUCUUUAAGAUUAAUCUGUUUGGCAUAUAUAUAUAUAUACAUAACUUGGGUGAAUUUUGAUCACUGGCUAAUACACAGAGGUUAUAAAAUUGACUAGCUAAAAGAAUUUUAAGUUUCAGUGGUACUUUGUGGAUGUUAAAGGCAAAAAAUAAAAUAUAGCUGUCAAGGGGCAUCAUAGGCAUGUGAAAAGAUGUGAUACCAAACCAUAAUUUUUUUGGGGUUAUUUAUAAAGCAUUAAAAUGCUGUCUUUAUUUAGUACUGAAAAAUUCCCUACGUUCUGUUUUGAAUUUGGAGAGAUCCUUUCAUCUUCAACUACAGCAGUAGCAGUAGAGACUCUUGUCAGGUACAUAUUUCUACACAGGUAAGUUUAUAUUUUUUGUAGGUAAGUAGUCUACUUUCUUCCACAAUUUCUGUGCAUUCAUAAAAACACAGUGGAAAAUAUUUACAUUAGUAUAUAUUUAGCCACAAUACCCAUCAAGAAAAAGCAAUUUUAUUGGCAAAGCACUGUAUGAAGCGAAAAAAAAAGGUCUAUACUUUGCAGUUGAUUUUUGUCUGAAGGAAGAAUGUUCAAUAAAUGUUUGAGAAAACAAUGUGCCAUUUUCAGAUAUUUAGAGAAGAUAAUUUUCAGAAAACACAUAAAAAAUAAAGCUAUAAACUACAGCUGAAAGAUUCACAUCAUGAGGGCAACCCAUUUUUUGAACAACCUUAUUGUAAGUCUCUUACCUACUUUUAUAAAAAAUUAAUUGAUGAUUGCAUUUAAAAGAGAGUGUAACUCCCGUUCUCUCCAGGAAAAAUAACUGUGAUUUCAGGCUCUGAUUAGGUGUUAGAAAAAUGAAAGAUUUUAGUAUUAUUAUUAUUAGUAGUAGUAAUAAUAAUAAAAAUUAUAAACAACAACCUAGCCAAUCAUUCUUGCAACAUUCAUAGAUUUACAUGUAGCAGAAAGUAAUCUAGUUCAUGUGCAAGUUUUGAACAGCUUUCUAGUUGCCAGCACCAGUUUUUAAAACUUCUUGUGUCUUCUACAAGGAUUUAAGAACUUUUCAGGCCCAGGUUGGAAUGACUUCUAGAAAUGAGGUAGCCAGUAUUCUGUAUAUUUAUCUGCGGUCACUUAAGUACAGUGCAAACAUCCUUCAUGCUCAUGUAAAAACUUAUCAUAUAAACAGGGAAGUUUCUGGAUUUUCAUUUAAACAACUCACAAUAAGUUGUGAGUUGUGAGUUUUCAUUACCCACCAACAUAACACUGAAUUUUAAGGGACAGAUUUCAAACAGGAAAAUCUAGAAAGUAAACUAAUGUUUAUUUAUGAAUAUCAGAAGAGGGAAACUUAUUGCUUUAGACAGACAUACAAUUUACAUCAUAAGAAUCUGUGGAUAUUCCUAUUAUGUGCAUUUGGUUUUCUAAUUAUUGUAACUGUAAAGGUCGGACUGGUUUGUUUGUUUGUUUUUUUUUAAAAAAGUGAUCAUGAAUUGCAUCAGAGCCGUGAGAUUAUUUAAAUUCCUUCACAAUCCAGGUUGAGUCAAUAUUGCUGUAUCUGCAUGAGAAAACUAUUUAAAUGAGUGAGCUGAAGUUAGAUGAAGGCACAUGGUGGCUUUUGCUAAUUAGGAAUGUAAUUGUCAUUGACUUAGUUAUUUUAGAGGUGCCUGUCAGAAGUUUUCUUAAUUGUAUAUUUACUGUUUUCCUCUAUCUUUAAAGAUCUAUUGGCACUUGUAAAGUAGUUUUAUUUAAUAUUCUUCCUUAUUCCCAAACAGUUUUAUUCAGUUUUCUGAUAAUUAAUCUAUAUAAGCACUAGAGAGAGUAUUGAAACUGUACUUAAUAGCUUCCCAAAUAUUAAAUUUUUCUGCUGGAUUAAAAUGUAGUCCAUUGGGAAAACUUAAUUCAAAAUCAACACAUCCAAAUGGCAGAGGCAGAAAUUCAUAUUAGUCUGACACAAAGAUAAAUCAGAAAUCACAAGUUAGUGCCUCUUUUCCAUGAUAUUUCCAGUUUUGAUGAUCGCAAGAGCCCUUGCUUUCAACUACCUGACCUCCACUGAGCACUGAUCACACCCAACAUGCUGAAGUUUCUUCCCAUAUUGUGAUUGCAUUUUCAUUGUGCACAGACUUCAGAAACACACAAUAACCUGGCACUUACAGUUCCUUUCCUUUGUUUCUCCUCCUUGGAUAUCGAAUAUUUACAAUUGAUAGUAAAACUUUAGCAAGUCCCACCUGCUAUUUGGGUACUAUUGGGAUGGGCAGACCAAACAUCACAAGGGAAAAACACAUUCCUCUGUUCAACAAACAAGGCACUAUGUCCUCCCAAGAGCUAUAUAUGAGGAGAAAUAACAAUUCCUCGUCAGAAACCUGCCCUUCUAAACCAGUCCAUAACACUAUUAAAAAACUCAUUUAUACUCUGCAAGCAGAAGUGAAAAAGUAAAGUUCAAAAAAAAGUGACAAUUGGCAGCCACCUCAUAGCAUCAUGGCUAGUACCUGAGAGUCAACUUCAGGUGUAAAGAAAUCGAAAUUGCUCUCUUAAUGAUGUGAGCUCCUUUUAUUCUUAAAAGCUUACUAGGGCAUUCAGGAUUGUAGAUUCGGUUAGCUGUUGGUGGCAAAAGCUACUGAAUACAGUAGCUACUAACUGCAAAUAGGAAGAGAAAAACCAUUUUCAUACAAAGGUGAAUUAAAGUGAACUGAAAACUGAGUUAUGUUUUGAUAUACUUUCAUAACAUUUGUUAGGUAAGUACUGACUAUAAGCUAACAGCUACACAUACUGUAGUUGAUAAUCCAGUUUCUUCCAUAGUAAAUCUUUUGCGAGUGGGCUUACAGAGAACACAGAUUAUAAAUAAUUCAGGAUAAAAAUAUAUUUAUGAUUAUAUACGUAUGUGCACACAUACACUUGAAAAUUAGAAUAUUUAACACGUCUUUACGCAUAUGCAAUCAUUUAUUUUUAUUUUCAAUGAUAUUCUGUCACUUAUUUAUAUUUUGACACUGAUAGGGAAAUACUACUAUUUUGCCUUUGCAACAUUUUGUUUUUCUUUCUGCUGCUUGGCUUUACUGAUAAGAGAAUAUAGAUUAGGUUUUAAAUAACUGUAAUUUUUCAGAUGGCAUAGUGGUAUACCACAGAUCUGAAUUUCAAGAGCCACUGUAGUGUUGAGUGAACCAUAUUUGUUAGCUAUUAAUAGUGAGGCUAUAACAGGCAUCAGAAGCUGCACAAGAAAACCUUAAGUCCUUUCAUGUUGGGUCUCUAGACUAAAACCCUGACCUCAAUCUCAGCAAAUUCUUUCUGUGUUAGUGGAAAUUAGCUUCAUAAUAUUUUCCUUGUUUCCUUUGGACACUCUUCCUGAAUUUGAACUUAUUCUUCUAACUCACAUAUGUUUGAUUUAUGUUUGUUUGUUUCUUUCUGAUACUGAGAUUCCAUCUUACCCUGGUGAUCAUGAGGGUUUCUUUCUUUUUCCUAGUACUGAUUUAGACUAACAGUGAAUAGUCAUCCGAGGGAGCCAAAUGUGGCUAGACUGGCAUAAAUAAAUAGGCGGACUUUACUUUCCAGCUGUCUCAUUGUUGUCCACAUGGUGAUAAUACUGCUGUCUACAACUUUAAAGAAAAUGAGGCAAAAUAAAAGUAGCAGAAAGAUAAACUAGAAACCCCAAUAAGAAUAAAAUGUGACAAAUUGCAUCUUUACAUUAAAAAGAAUUGACUUCCAACCACUGAAGUACAAGUGAUACCUAUUUAUCAAGUUAAGUUGUUUUCAUGCUGCAAAACACAAGCUUAAUUACAGAGGCCAUUUACAUAUGGAUGGUACUUGUUUAAGCACUAUUUUUAACACUGUAUGCAUAAAUAAGAUUUAAUUUCAACUUUGGGGUUUUUUUUUAUCUUUGCUUUCAGAAAAUAGGCAAACAUAAUGAUGGAAACAAUCUCCUGGAUGAUCAAAAUGCAGUCCUUUACCUACUCAGGGAACUAUGCUUGUGACAUUUUCCAUGAACUUAACAAUUUGCAUCAUUAAAUUGCUUGAGCUGUUAUUUUUUUUGUCCCCACCACUUGUAUUAAAAAACAACUCUAGAACCUCACCACUUUUAUGGUCAGAAAUCUUCUAGAUUCCAGACUAAAUUUAUUCAUGGACAAAUUACACCCAUUUGUUCUUGUGCCAACAUUAUCUGCUAGAAUAAAUAGUUCUUUUCCUUGCCUACUGUUUACCACUCUAUUGUGUUUCUAGAGAAUAAUUAUUUCCUGUAUCAGCUUUUGUUUCUACUAGACUAAACAAGGAAAAACUUUUCAGCCUGGCUCUUAAAAUGGCUCCUCUUUGGUAAUCUCUAUAGCUCUUCCACUAUUUCACCUUUCACAAAUGUGAUGAAAAAAAUCUGUGUGAGAUCUCUUAGGUGCUUUAAGCAGUGAAAGAGAUUUUUUCCUUUUCUCUGCUAAGAAAUAGUUUAAUUGGUUCAUACUUGGAUGGUGUUUGCUUUUUCAUGGUUCUAUCCCACUGGUAACUAACAACCUUGCAGUCUGUUAAUAUGCAUACCCUGAUCUAUCUCCUGUGUUAUUUACAACUGAUAUUCUCCUAGUUUACAGCAGAUUUUUAAUUAAUCCUCGAGUGCGUGUCUCCACUGCCAACACUAUGCGCUUAAAAGUGAUUUUAGUGAUAUGUAUUUUCAAUGUGCUUUUUCCAAGGCUGACACAUGUUUUGGACAAAUAGAUGCCAAAGAUAACAGAAAAAUGAAAAAGAAUAAUGUAAGGAGGUACUCAGCACACUGACAGCACCAGGCAUGACAUAUUAGGGAGAAGUUUUCACAAGUGCUUCAGUGUAAUAUGAUAGAACAUAAAGGUUUGAGUGUGGUACAUUGCACACAAUACUUUAGGAAAUUCUCUUUUGGCCUUGUAUACUCACAGUUACUUAAAUAUUGCAUUUCAAAACAAUUAGGAUUAUUACAUCAAUACUUUUAGAAUGGUUCACGGUAAAAAAGCUUUGCUACUGCCUAGUUGUAAAGGUUCCAUUUAAGGGCCAUACAUUUUGGAGUGAAGACCAUAUAACUCUUAUGUUUUAAAAGACAUGGGCAUUCUCACGAGCAUGCUGAUGAUUUUGGACUGCAAGGUCAAACAGGUAGGAAUUUGAGAACUUUGAAUCUUUAAGAAAAUAAUUGACAUUUCCUCAUUUUGAUGUGGAAGCCAGCAAUUUAUAAAAUAACUUCAGCUGUACAAGUAUAGAUAGCAGAAGACUAGUGAAUUCCCACACUCAGUAUCUUUGCCCUUUAGUCGAAAGAUAAACUAGAUUUUUGAAGGAUUUUUUUAGAGGGAGAAAGAUUAUUUUAAAAUCAUGUGAUAGAUUUUUUUUUUUUUAUUUUGCAUAAGGGUGCUGGAUUGAGAAAAUGUAUUCAUAAGAGUUAUCUCCAAGGGCAUGCAGCUUUAGAAAACUCUUGAAAAACCUUUUUUGUCGGUUUUAAAUUUGAUGGGAAUCUGCUUAUUGGGAAGGGAAUCUGUAUCUGCUCAGGAUUAUUUUAUUAAGUUAUUAAAAGGUAGUUUUACUUAAUGUGCCCUCCUUGGCUAUUGCUAUAUAAUACUUCUUUGAUGUUGAAAUGGUAAGUGAACAUAUUAGCUUUUUGGUGCAGUAAUGUUUAAUAUGUUGUAUUUUGUUUAGGGCAUCCCUGUGGUGCUGGUAGCUGUGCGUGAACGACUAGUAUAUAAAGCUGGGAAGCUCUGAACGUCUUUCAGUGGUAAUAUAAUGAUUUUCACCAAAGGAGGAAGAAGUCUUGAUAUAUUUUUAUUCUGUUAACCUGAGUUUGGAGGGUGUUGAUUUCGUAAAUCACAAGGCCCAUCAGCAAUUUUGUUGAUGACAUCAAGCUGUGUGGCGCAGUCAACAUGCUGGAGGGAAGGGAUGCCAUCCAGAGGGACCUCGACAGGCCUGAGAGGUGGGCCCAUGAGAACCUCAAGAAGUUCAACAAGGCCAAGUGCAGGGUUCUGUAGUCCUGCACCUGGACUGGGGCAAUCCGAAGCAUAAAUACAGGCUGGACAGAGAAUGGAUUGAGAGCAGCUCUGACAAGAAGGACUUGGGGUUUGUGAUGGAUGAGAGGCUAGACAUGAGCCAGCAAUGUGCACUUGCAGCACAGAAAGCCAAGUGUAUCCUAGGCCACAUCUAAAGUAGUGUGGACAGCAGGUUGAGGAAGGUGAUUCUGACCCUCUACUCUGCUCUGGUGAGACUCCACCUGGAGUACUGCAUCUAGGUCUGGGGUCCUUGGCACAGGAAAGACCUGUUGGAGUGAGUUCAGAGGAGGGCCACCAAGAUGAUUAGAAGGAUGGAUCACCUCUCCUAUGAGGAAAGGCAGAAGGAGUUGGGAUUGUUCAGCCUGGAAAAGAGAAGGCUUCGGGGUGAACUAAUGAUGGCCUUCCACUACAUGAAGGGAGCCUACAAGAAAGAUGGGAGAGAGACUAUUUAUAAGAGCAGGUAGCAACAGAACAAGGGGGAAUUACUUCAAACUCAGCAAAAGUAGGCUUAUAUUAGGUAUUAGGAAGAAAUUCUUUCCUGUGAACCCUCACUGGAACAGGUUGUCCAGAGAAGCUGUGGAUGCCCCACCCCUGUAAGAGUUCAAGGCAAGGUUGAAUGAGUCUUUGAGCAAUUUGGUCUAGCAAAAGGUGCCUCUGCCCAUGGCAGGGGGGUUAGAACUAGAUGAUCUUCAAGGACCCUUUCAAACCAAAGCAUUGUAUGAUUCUAUGAUGUGAUUAAGUAAAUCUAUCAUAUGCAAGUAGUGGCUUCAAAAAGUAAAUUAGUUACUAUGUCUGUCAGAAGACUUUAUUUUUCUUUACUCAUAAUUCACUAUAUUUUUAGAAAUAUUUGAGACCUGUCCAGGCAUCAGAAACUUGCAGGCAUUUACUGCAGCAGGUUGCAACCAAAUGAUCAUUCUGACUUGACAAGAUAGGUUUUAAAGCAGUUCUUUUCCUUAAUAUGCCUCUUUCUUUUUUGCUAGUUGUAGUUAGUAUUUGUCAAAUUAGGACAAAGAUUUGUCAUUAGUCUUUUUUCUUUAGACAAUGAUACACUUACUCUGUUGAUAAGGGAAAGGGAUUUGAAAAGUGCCUGACAAAGAGAAACGUCACAGAAAGUAAAACAUGUAGUAUAUGGUAAUAUUAUCCUACUGAUUUUAAUCUGAUAGAGGUGUUAGGCUAAUUAAGAAAGAAUUAAACUACACAUGACAGAUACCGGUCACAUUGUUUAAUAUACUGCUGGAGAAUACACAGAACCAUAGGGGCGAUGAAAGCAUUGCAAGAGCAUACACAGAAGAGAAAUAAAAUACAAUUGCUGCAUGCAAGUAUAGUGGGUUUUGCAAGUAAACAUGGUAUACUUGUUUGACAGGAGGUUCUUUUGACAAGUAUAAUUUUGUCAUUAAUACAGAUUCUAUAUAGAAAAAUAUUUGUUAAGUGAUUUUAAAUGGUUUGGGGGUGGGGGAGACAGUGAAGAGCAGGGAAUAACCCUUCAGUAGUUAUUUACAUGGGAAAUGUUUGUAUUAUUCUCUUAAUAGAAAAUAAUAGUUUUUCCUCUUCUGCAGUACCUUCUGGUGCCAUUUUAAAAUUAAAAUAAAUUAUAUUUCUCCAAGACGGAAAAAUUUAUGUUUCUCUGAGAAACUGGCCUCAUCAAUAAGUUCAUAGAAAACAUUAUUUGGUUGUUUGGCACCUAUAUGGAGAAGCAUCCAGAAAUUAUUAUCUAUGUAAAACAGAGGGUUUUCUCCUCAGUUAUUUUCUCUCUUUUUCUUGUAUUGGCUUUGUUUCCAUUAGAUUUCUUGGAGCUCUGAUUCAGAGCAAAAUAGAUUUGCUGUUUCCUGAAAGAAGAUUUAUUAGCGUGGAGACGGUAUGGUAAGAUCAGUGAGAUAAUCUGUUUUAAGAGAAGAGGGUUAAGGUGGAUAUACAAGAGAAGGGUAUGAUAAUUUUCAAUUUCACACUGUAAGGAGUACCAUGUUGAUUUCAGAGCAAAAGUGGAAAAAAAUUCACUCUGGGAAUUAGGGGCUGUGCAUCAGCAUGGAUGCUGCUGUGCAUAUCGGCUAAUGCAGGGACAUGGCAGCUGAUGGGACAGACAGACCCUUGUGCCUUGCUCCUGCACUGACUUCUGCUUCCCCUUCAGUUUGAGAUGGGGGUCAUUUAAAAUAAUACAGUCUACAAUAUAAGACCUUUGGCAACUUGUUCCUUCUUCAAAGUAGUUUAAUACUGAGGCAACUCUAUAGCUGGGGAGGAUUUUUCUGUCUUUCGCCUAACUCCUUAAAAUCAGGUGUUUCAGGGCAUAUCUUAUGUACAUUACUAGAGUGUUGUAUGCAAUUCAUUUUUGUGGUUUAGGAGAAGGCAGUAUGUGUAUUGUGCACAGCACAUGUAAGUGACUAUUGAAAUGAUACUGCAAGUCACAAAUAUACUCCCAGUUUCAUUACCCACACAUUACCCCACAUUUCCCACCCACACAUUUCACCCACAGAACUAUAAUAAGCAGGGCUGAUUUAGGAGGCUCUUUGGGAUUUUAGCACAGCAAGUAGUCCCUAAUGGAGCUGGGAAGUGAAGGAAACUGUACCAGCUGGGAGCCAAAUAGCAGUAAUGCAGAACCUAUGGGGAGAUGAUGCAGCUCAUGAAGGUUUAUAAUACCAUAGGUUACUGUAAUUAUUAAAGAAGCAGGAAACAAAUAAUAAACUCCCCCCUUAUAAGCACUUUAUAUAAGAGAGAUGCAAAAUGGUAGAGUUGAAAGGGAGAUAAGGCUGUUCACAAUCUGCACUCAAGCUGGAUGUGGGUUACUCCCUUUCAGGUGUGUGGUCUAAGCUUCAGGUGAUGGGAGUGGUUCCAUGUUUUUUGAAGUUUUACUUUUUCUUCUUUUUUUCAUCUUCCUCCUGGCAUAUCGCUCUGCUUUCCCAUGAGUGGUGUCACUAGCAAGAAAAUAACCAGAUGUCUCAGCCGGGCUGUUUCCAUUUUUCUACCGCAGAAAGCAAGUUUACUCAUUCUGAAUCGUGCCAAACCGCAUAAUUUGGAAAGGAAUAUUGUGGCUCUACUUGGAAAGUACUAAUUGGGCUUCAGCCAUCACUGGGAAAGCUGUAUAGUCUUUUAUUAUUUUAACUGGCCAAAUGCCCUUUGUUACCACAUUAACAGUCUCCCUAUGGUGCCUGUAACUUUGAUAUUAUUUUCACUUUCAUGCUAAAUUUGACCAGAUGAAAGACACAAACCCUCCAAUUUUGAAAUAAAAAAAAUAGCAUGUUUUGUUAAUCCUGUAUUUCAGAGGGAAAGUCUGCGAAAAUGAUAACCUUUGUCUGUUGGCCAAAGUUUUUGUUCAGUAAACCCAUCCUGCCAGCUGUUCCCAUUGGCAAGAGGAAAGAUAA
This is a long non-coding RNA of Pseudopipra pipra, 16718 nucleotides long. RefSeq lists it as uncharacterized. Lineage: Eukaryota; Metazoa; Chordata; Aves; Passeriformes; Pipridae. The record is from RefSeq and is a predicted model, not a curated record. The transcript is spliced from 2 exons.